GAUGAAGAACGCAGCGAAAUGCGAUACGUAAUGUGAAUUGCAGAAUUCAGUGAAUCAUCGAGUCUUUGAACGCACAUUGCGCCCCCUGGUAUUCCGGGGGGCAUGCCUGUCCGAGCGUCAUUGCUGCCCUCAAGCACGGCUUGUGUGUUGGGCCUCCGUCCUCCUCCCGGGGGACGGGCCCGAAAGGCAGCGGCGGCACCGCGUCCGGUCCUCGAGCGUAUGGGGCUUCGUCACCCGCUCUUGUAGGCCCGGCCGGCGCUUGCCGACACAUCAAUCUUUUUCCAGGUUGACCUCGGAUCAGGUAGGGAUACCCGCUGAACUUAAGCAUAUCAAUAAGCGGAGGA
Molecule: unclassified non-coding RNA, 344 nt
Filed under: soil metagenome
Description: partial contains 5.8S ribosomal RNA, internal transcribed spacer 2, and large subunit ribosomal RNA
Rfam family: 5.8S ribosomal RNA (bases 1-120)
Source: RNAcentral